CUCGUUCCCACGCCAGUGCAGGUUGGACAGC
RNAcentral lists this non-coding RNA (31 nucleotides) under Homo sapiens (human). The record is from RNAcentral. Lineage: Eukaryota; Metazoa; Chordata; Mammalia; Primates; Hominidae.